Molecule: small RNA, 2394 nt
Filed under: Pan troglodytes (chimpanzee)
Lineage: Eukaryota; Metazoa; Chordata; Mammalia; Primates; Hominidae
Description: processed transcript
Source: RNAcentral
ACUGCUGUGGUGGAGCCCAGGGCUAUUCCCCCACUUCCCGGGAGACUCGGAGCGCAUCGAGUGUGCGCGCGGCGCGUGCGUGGCGUCCCGGAACCGCCGAGCGCUGAGGGACUCGCGGACGCGCGCGCUGCUCUUCUACGGCACAGACUUCCGCGCGUCGGCCGCCCCGCUGCCGCGCCUGGCGCACCAGAGCUGGGCGCUCCUCCACGAGGAGUCGCCCCUCAACAACUUCUUCCUGAGCCACGGCCCGGGCAUCCGCCUCUUCAAUCUUACCUCCACCUUCAGUCGCCACUCGGAUUACCCGCUGUCGCUGCAGUGGCUGCCCGGGACCGCCUAUCUGCGCCGCCCGGUGCCUCCGCCCCUGGAACGCGCGGAGUGGCGCCGCCGCGGCUACGCGCCGCUGCUCUAUCUGCAGUCACACUGCGACGUGCCCGCGGACCGGGACCGCUACGUGCGCGAGCUCAUGCGCCACAUCCCGACUCCUACGGGAAAUGCCUGCAGAAUCGGGAGCUGCCUACCGCGCGGCUACAGGACACAGCCACAGCCACCACCGAGGAUCCAGAGCUCUUGGCUUUCUUGUCCCGCUAUAAGUUCCACUUGGCCCUGGAAAAUGCCAUCUGUAACGACUACAUGACAGAAAAACUGUGGCGUCCCAUGCACCUGGGCGCUGUGCCCGUGUACCGCGGUUCUCCCUCUGUGAGGGACUGGAUGCCGAACAAUCACUCCGUCAUCCUGAUUGAUGAUUUUGAGUCUCCUCAGAAGCUGGCAGAGUUUAUUGACUUUCUGGACAAGAAUGAUGAGGAGUAUAUGAAAUACCUGGCAUACAAGCAACCUGGGGGCAUCACCAACCAAUUUCUUCUGGAUAGUCUGAAGCAUCGGGAGUGGGGAGUGAAUGAUCCUUUGCUGCCUAACUACCUCAACGGCUUCGAGUGUUUCGUCUGUGACUACGAACUGGCUCGGCUGGAUGCCGAGAAAGCCCACGCGGCCUCUCCCGGGGACAGCCCCGUCUUUGAGCCCCACAUUGCCCAGCCCUCACACAUGGACUGCCCAGUGCCCACCCCUGGCUUUGGCAAUGUGGAAGAGAUUCCUGAGAAUGACAGGUAAGAGUGCUGGGGUCCCCUGCAGCCAUCAAAUCAUUACUUGUUUACUGUGGGCAAUUAAGUAGCACUAGGUGCUGAGCAGGUGCAGGAGGAAAUUAUCACAUGGGCUCACUCUGUAUUUAAGGUGUCAACAGUCUAGUUGGGGGGAUAAGACAAGCUGAAAAAGCUGAAUAGAUGUAAAAUAUAAUUCAAGGCAACGUAUGAAAAUCAGCUUAUGUGAACAAUCUUUCCAGUAGUGGUUCAAAAAGAUUGAACCAGAGUACAGGGCCUGUGCAGACAGGGGAGAGAGAAAAUGGGGCAAAUAAAUAGGGACAACGCUAUAAAUAUCAUUAAUACCAGGCUCAGGAGUUUGCACUGCACUAAAAAUCAACUCAGCUAUUUGAGCACCUUUUAUAGAGUGGAAAUGGGGGUGGGCAGUAGAGAAGAGCACUUUUAGAGAGGCUUUUCUGCAAUAGUCAGGGGUUACACCUGUUAACCAGCCAUAAUUUUUUAAGCGGCUGUGCUGAGGAUGAGCCCCAUGUAGUUGGUGCAUGUGGGGACACACUGCCUGUGUAACUAGAAAAACUAGGCAUGGCCGGGCACGGUGGCUCACACCUGUAAUCCCAGCACUUUGGGAGGUCAAGGGGGGAGGAACAUUUGAGGCCAGAGACAAUAUAAUAUAUAAUAUAAUAUAUUGACCAGCCUGGACAAUAUAAUAAGACCCUCUCUGUACAAUUUAAAAACUAAAAGCCUGGGGUGGUGGCACAUGCCUGUAGUCCUGGCUACUUGGGAGGCUGUGGCGGGUGGAUUGCUUGAACCUAGGAGUUCAAUGCUGUAGUGAGCUAGGAUCGUGCCACUGCAUUCCAGCCUGGGUUGGAGUAAGACCCUGUCACACACACACACACAAAACAAUGCACAAUGUGCAUCAGAAGGGAAGCGAAUAGGCUACUGUAGUAGGUGGCAAAAGGUGGUGGUACUGGGAAACAAGGCCAGCGUGUGGUGUGGGGUGGGAAAAUGUUGAAACCACUUGUAGCAAGCCACACCUAUUGGGGGAGAGGUGAUAAGAUUAUUAAGCUGAAGUAAGGCUGCUAGAAUGGCCUAUAGAAACCGACUUGGACAGUGGAUGGCAGCAGAAGGCCAUUUAUUAACAGAUGCUGCUGGCAGUUUUGUCCCGAUGGUUGGAAUCCUUCACCAAGUAAUUUGUAUCUAAUUACAAAUUGUUUGUAUCUGAACAUAAUAUGAUUUACUAGAGGAAAAGUAUGAAAAAAUAUGAAACAUUAAGAAAAUAAAUAUUCAGGUUAUGUCUUUUCUAGAU